UCCUACACACGCAUGUACUCUCCAGCAUCC
This 30-nucleotide non-coding RNA is filed under the name Rattus norvegicus (Norway rat). Lineage: Eukaryota; Metazoa; Chordata; Mammalia; Rodentia; Muridae. The record is from RNAcentral.